UACGUAGGCAGCGAGCGUUGUUCGGAGUUACUGGGCGUAAAGGGUGUGUAGGCGGCCGUUUAAGUUUGGUGUGAAAUCUCCCGGCUCAACCGGGAGGGUGCGCCGAAUACUGAAUGACUUCGAGUGCGGGAGAGGAGAGUGGAAUUCCUGGUGUAGCGGUGAAAUGCGUAGAUAUCAGGAGGAACACCGGUGGUGUAGACGGCUCUCUGGACCGUAACUGACGCUGAGACACGAAAGCGUGGGUAGCAAACAGG
This 254-nucleotide ribosomal RNA is filed under the name uncultured bacterium. Its description in RNAcentral is "partial 16S ribosomal RNA". It matches the Rfam family "Bacterial small subunit ribosomal RNA", at positions 524 to 776 of the family's 1533-position model. The record is from RNAcentral.